UUAUUCCUUAUGGACACCAGGCCACAUUCUUCAACGGAAGAACCGACCUCUUGAUUUGUAUUUGACGUUAAUGGAGAUUGUAUAAUUCAUUUACUUUACAAGUUAUCUUGGAUUGACAUACUUCAAAGACCUUGGAAAUUGGGUUAGUCCACAGUACCGAAGAACAGAUGCUUGAUUCCAUCUAGUUCAUUUCUAAAUUGUCCAUCCAGAUAAGAAACCUGAGGCACAGAGAGGGUAUGAAUCUCUGAAAGGACGGUAUUCAGGUUCAGAAUGAAAACAAAGAAGAAACCAUGGAGCAAUAAAAAAUGUCUUCAAAAAUG
Suricata suricatta (meerkat) is the source of this 320-nucleotide long non-coding RNA. RefSeq lists it as uncharacterized. The transcript is spliced from 4 exons. NCBI's taxonomy places the organism in Eukaryota, Metazoa, Chordata, Mammalia, Carnivora, Herpestidae. The record is from RefSeq and is a predicted model, not a curated record.